Non-coding RNA from Triticum aestivum (bread wheat), 125 nucleotides. The record is from Rfam. NCBI's taxonomy places the organism in Eukaryota, Viridiplantae, Streptophyta, Magnoliopsida, Poales, Poaceae.
UUAGUACUCCCUCCGUCCCAAAAUACUUGUGGGAGAAAUGAAUAAAAAUGAAUGUAUCUAAAACUAAAAUAUGUCUAGAUACAUCCAUUCCUUCGACAAGAAUUUCCGGACGGAAGGAGUAUAUG